RNAcentral lists this ribosomal RNA (329 nucleotides) under uncultured eukaryote. Its description in RNAcentral is "partial 18S ribosomal RNA". It matches the Rfam family "Eukaryotic small subunit ribosomal RNA", at positions 1470 to 1796 of the family's 1831-position model. The record is from RNAcentral.
CCCUUAGAUGUUCUGGGCCGCACGCGCGCUACACUGAUGCAUUCAACGAGUCUAAAACCUGCUCUGAUAGGGGUGGGUAAUCUUUUGAAUGUGCAUCGUGAUUGGGAUAGAUGAUUGCAAUUUUUCAUCUUCAACGAGGAAUGCCUAGUAAACGCAAGUCAUCAGCUUGCAUUGAUUACGUCCCUGCCCUUUGUACACACCGCCCAUCGCUCCUACCGAUUGAAUGAUCCGAUGAAUAUCAUGGAUUGAGGAUGUAAGCAGGUUCGCCUGUCUUCAUCUUCGAGAAGUGAAGUAAAUCUUAUCAUUUAGAGGAAGGAGAAGUCGUAACA